UCGGAUAUGGUGUAACGGCUAACAUUGCCGCCUCUCAUUGGAUGGUUGCAAGAUUCCGCGGCAGCUCGGGGUUCGAUUCCCCGUAUCCGAA
Armillaria novae-zelandiae is the source of this 91-nucleotide non-coding RNA. The record is from the annotation of a GenBank genome assembly. Lineage: Eukaryota; Fungi; Basidiomycota; Agaricomycetes; Agaricales; Physalacriaceae.